This 741-nucleotide ribosomal RNA is filed under the name Escherichia coli. Its description in RNAcentral is "partial 23S ribosomal RNA". It matches the Rfam family "Bacterial large subunit ribosomal RNA", at positions 2190 to 2925 of the family's 2925-position model. The record is from RNAcentral. Lineage: Bacteria; Pseudomonadati; Pseudomonadota; Gammaproteobacteria; Enterobacterales; Enterobacteriaceae. RNAcentral also lists the same sequence under 1 other name.
CCUUGAAAUACCACCCUUUAAUGUUUGAUGUUCUAACGUUGACCCGUAAUCCGGGUUGCGGACAGUGUCUGGUGGGUAGUUUGACUGGGGCGGUCUCCUCCUAAAGAGUAACGGAGGAGCACGAAGGUUGGCUAAUCCUGGUCGGACAUCAGGAGGUUAGUGCAAUGGCAUAAGCCAGCUUGACUGCGAGCGUGACGGCGCGAGCAGGUGCGAAAGCAGGUCAUAGUGAUCCGGUGGUUCUGAAUGGAAGGGCCAUCGCUCAACGGAUAAAAGGUACUCCGGGGAUAACAGGCUGAUACCGCCCAAGAGUUCAUAUCGACGGCGGUGUUUGGCACCUCGAUGUCGGCUCAUCACAUCCUGGGGCUGAAGUAGGUCCCAAGGGUAUGGCUGUUCGCCAUUUAAAGUGGUACGCGAGCUGGGUUUAGAACGUCGUGAGACAGUUCGGUCCCUAUCUGCCGUGGGCGCUGGAGAACUGAGGGGGGCUGCUCCUAGUACGAGAGGACCGGAGUGGACGCAUCACUGGUGUUCGGGUUGUCAUGCCAAUGGCACUGCCCGGUAGCUAAAUGCGGAAGAGAUAAGUGCUGAAAGCAUCUAAGCACGAAACUUGCCCCGAGAUGAGUUCUCCCUGACUCCUUGAGAGUCCUGAAGGAACGUUGAAGACGACGACGUUGAUAGGCCGGGUGUGUAAGCGCAGCGAUGCGUUGAGCUAACCGGUACUAAUGAACCGUGAGGCUUAACCUU